AAAAUAUUUUGGUUUAAAUUAUAAGUUAUAAUUGGAUAGAUUUGUGCUAGCAUCUGCGGUUAUUCAAAUAAUUUAAAUUUAAAAUUUUGGUU
Octopus sinensis (East Asian common octopus) is the source of this 92-nucleotide long non-coding RNA. RefSeq lists it as uncharacterized. The transcript has 3 exons. Lineage: Eukaryota; Metazoa; Mollusca; Cephalopoda; Octopoda; Octopodidae. The record is from RefSeq and is a predicted model, not a curated record.